GUUUCCGUGUGUAGUGGCUAUCACAUCCGCCUUACACGCGGAAGGCCCCGGUUCGAUCCCGGGCGGAAGCA
RNAcentral lists this transfer RNA (71 nucleotides) under Pollicipes pollicipes. RNAcentral's name for it is "tRNA-Val". It matches the Rfam family "tRNA". From Rfam's summary of the family: Transfer RNA (tRNA) molecules are approximately 80 nucleotides in length. Lineage: Eukaryota; Metazoa; Arthropoda; Thecostraca; Pollicipedomorpha; Pollicipedidae. The record is from RNAcentral.